AUUUCCCUCUUUCUUCAUGCUUUACACAUGCAAGUCGAACGGCAGCGCGGGCUUCGGCCUGGCGGCGAGUGGCGAACGGGUGAGUAAUGCAUCGGAACGUGCCCAGUAGUGGGGGAUAGCCCGGCGAAAGCCGGAUUAAUACCGCAUACGACCUGAGGGUGAAAGCGGGGGACCGAAAGGCCUCGCGCUAUUGGAGCGGCCGAUGUCGGAUUAGCUAGUUGGUGGGGUAAAGGCUUACCAAGGCGACGAUCCGUAGCUGGUCUGAGAGGACGACCAGCCACACUGGGACGGAGACACGGCCCAGACUCCUACGGGAGGCAGCAGUGGGGAAUUUUGGACAAUGGGGGCAACCCUGAUCCAGCCAUGCCGCGUGCGGGAAGAAGGCCUUCGGGUUGUAAACCGCUUUUGUUCGGGAAGAAAUCCUCUGGGCUAAUACCCCGGGGGGAUGACGGUACCGGAAGAAUAAGCACCGGCUAACUACGUG
RNAcentral lists this ribosomal RNA (484 nucleotides) under uncultured bacterium. RNAcentral's name for it is "partial 16S ribosomal RNA". It matches the Rfam family "Bacterial small subunit ribosomal RNA", at positions 34 to 507 of the family's 1533-position model. The record is from RNAcentral.